GGAAUAACUCGGCCACAAUGGAUAACCAUUUCAAGUAUGGCUAUUGUAAGGCACAGGAGAUAACAGAAACAAGAGACAUUAAUAUAUCUGAAUUGCAGUGUGCGCCCUCCAAAGUCCUGAUCAACCACAUGCCAUUAAGGAGGGAAAAAAACUGAUGGCAUUGGAUCACAGGACAGAUCUACAGAUACUUUGUAUACAUAUAAAAAAGGACAAGCUUAAUUUACAUGUAGAAGACGGCCGGAAGAAAAGUAAAACUUAUCUUCAUAGAAGGCAAAAACCUAAACAAGUACAUGAAGCACCACCACUACCAGCAAUGACUUCAACAAACAAAACUGGGAUGUAAGUAGCCGGGCUGAGGCAGCUGAUGGUUUAGAUGGAGCUCUUCCAGCAACAGCAGGUGAAACCGCAUGUCCUCCAGGAGUGCUCUGCUGCUCAUUUGUUGGUAAUGGGUUAGCUGGUGCCCCACUGGGAGAAGUAAGAGGCAUCCUCUUGCCAUCACUUCGACCUUCACAAUCGGAGCGUGACCAUCCCAACUUCAAAUUUUCCCUAUCAAACACCACUCGAUAUCCCGUCAUGAAAUUUUGUCCAAUGGCUCCAAUAUCUUCAUCAGUUGGUUGAAUGGCUAAACAAAAUCCAGCAACUCCCUGCAUGCCAUAGAUCAUAAAAACAGGAUUAUGGAUCACAAAGCUGUUGUUUAACGGGAAAAUGAGCUUCACAGAUGGCACCUUGGGCGAGUCCUUUGAACUGGAUUUGUAACAAUACUUCCAGGGAUAACCGUCAAAGCUGGAGAUCGUAACAUUCACUUGUCGGUCAAACUCCUCAGUAACUCUUUCAUAAACAUCUUCUGGAAGAAAUGUGAAUGAUGUGCCAGUAUCAACUAGUGCCCUAAAGCUUGUCUGCUUAAGGCAAGAACUGCCAACACAACAGGCCUCCACUCCCACGAUGUAUGUUGUGUAAUUCCCAUUUAGAGUGAGGAAUGGAGUAGAUUGCUGGGUUGUUGGUCCCUGAUCACCAAAAAAUAUUCUCCCAGAAUCAUCCUCAUCAAAGCACAUUGAGAAAGAGUUUCUGAUCAAUCCUGCUUUAGCAAGAAAACUGGGAACUGAAAUUUCUGACAGUCCUAAACCCAUCAGACCAUCAGGUGCAACCCCGUCCAAGUAACCACCACUUUGCUUCAUGCCACAUCCUAUGACCACUGCAGCCUGCACAGAAGCAUUUAAUGCAUUAUCACCAUCUGAUGCAAGAUGUAAUAUGUCCUCAAGCAGCAAUCCAGAACUUGAUGUGUUUUCUGUGUAAUAAUCAAUAGCGUAAGGGCAUGGCUGUUUAGGGCUUUUGCAGUUCGGACCUGAUUCACAUAACCGAUGGCUGCAAGAUAGGUGCUUGCUGGUACUUGAAUGAGAAGGACUAUAUUCAUUCAGAUCUCUAUCCAGACUGUUAUAGUAACUUGCAGAUAGGGGGGCACAUUGCACGCAAUCGCAAGGCACCCAGAGUAGAUCACUUCCAGCAUCCAGUGCAACAAGAAAUGACACAUGAGGUGUCCCUAUAUCAAUCCAGGUGUAGUGCAACCAUCCAAAGUCAUUUCCAAGCGACAUCGUUUUGCUGCCUUCGGAAGGGAAGAGAAAAUUGUAAUGAGGUCCAAGCUUCAUCUUCUGCCUCUGGAAGUCACUGCUCACGAGCUUCUGGUAAUACUCCACACUCUUCUUCUCAGGCCACAAGUUCCUCAUGCUCAAGCUUCCGUACUUCGAAACCCUAAGCGUCUUCAUUUCGUCAGAGAACCGGUGAAUCAGCUUCGACGAGAAUGUAAUUUCUAAGCUCUCCCCCACAAGAAGGCUCGCCAUUACCAAAAUAAGCAGAGAUCGAGCCGCCCUCGAAAUGUGCAGCAAGCAAGGGUGGGCGGCUGAUGAUCUAGCAGUGUGCAAAUGACAAUAGAAAAAAUGAACAGAAUAGGGCAAUUUAGAGUGCUUUUAAGCAAUAAGAUGGAGAUCUAGCGUUUUGAGGCUAGUGUUGAAAUGUGUAUAGCUCCGGCCACCGUGUGUAGGAGGGAUGAGCCACCGAUUUUUUCAGGGCCGGCGAAGAGAAGGAGCAAAUAUU
This 2088-nucleotide unclassified non-coding RNA is filed under the name Hevea brasiliensis (rubber tree). Lineage: Eukaryota; Viridiplantae; Streptophyta; Magnoliopsida; Malpighiales; Euphorbiaceae. The record is from RNAcentral.